CUUGGGCUCCACUCCAGAUCUGCUGAAUCAGGGACUCUGGGUGUGGGAACCAGCGAUCUGCAUUUUCACAAGCCUGACAAGUUUAAGAGCCUUCCCCAUCCCAGUCUGGGAGUUAGGGGAAACCCACUCUAGAGAAAGACUGUCAGAAGAGAAGCCUUUACACAUGGUCUGGAUGGAGGAGGGAGAGAACGGGAAGAGGCAACAUUUGACUAGAUCGUGGCCAAGAAUGUUCCCAAAGUGAUGAAAGGCAUCAAGAAAGAAUAGAAGUAAAUCCAGAAGGAAUCAAAGGAUUUAUUGGAUUGGAUAAAAGGUAUUUUUUAAAAAUCCAUGGAGAGGGGGAUUCCUACUAGCUUUUGGGGUCCCAAAUAGAACCCUGUUUGGUUAAUGAGUGAUCUGUACAUUAUUUGUAGGAGAAAUCUACUAAAGGAGCUAAAAACCCUCCUGGGGUGAUGGGUCACUUGGAACUCAGCUCCUCUUACUUCUACUCCUACAGGGGGAAAAUCCAGAAGUCUGCACAUGGAGAGAAACCUCUCAAAAACUGACUUGGGGGCCAGUGUGGUGGCAUACUGGUUAAAGUUGAGUGCAUUCUGCUUUGGCGGCCCAGGUUCUCGGGUUCAAAUCCUGGGGGCGGACCUAUACCACUCAUCAGCCAUGCUGUGGUGGUGACCCACAUACAAAAUAGAGGAAGACUGGCACAGAUACUAGCUCAGGUCUAAUCUUCUUCAAGCAAAAAGAGGAAUAUUGGCAACAGAUGUUAACUCAGUGUGAAUCUUCCUCAGCAAAAAAAAAACCCCAAAACUGGGACCGGCCCUGUGGCCAAGUGGUUAAGUUCCUGCACUCCACUUCGGUAGCACAGGGUUUCACAGGUUCACAUCCUAGGUACAGACCUAGCACCACUCAUCAAGCCAUGCGGAGGUGGUGUCCCACAUAGCACGACCCGAAGGACCUACAACUAGAAUACACAACUAUGUACUGAGGGGUUUUGGGGAGAAAAGGAAGUGAACAAAAGAGAGACAGAAGACUGGAAACAAAUGUUAGCUCAGGGCCAAUCUUAAAAAAAAAAUGUGACUUGAUAGGAGGUGA
RNAcentral lists this long non-coding RNA (1083 nucleotides) under Equus caballus (horse). Its description in RNAcentral is "lncRNA (ENSECAG00000046801.1)". The record is from RNAcentral. Lineage: Eukaryota; Metazoa; Chordata; Mammalia; Perissodactyla; Equidae.